Molecule: ribosomal RNA, 873 nt
Filed under: uncultured Streptococcus sp.
Lineage: Bacteria; Bacillati; Bacillota; Bacilli; Lactobacillales; Streptococcaceae
Description: bacterial SSU rRNA
Rfam family: Bacterial small subunit ribosomal RNA
Source: RNAcentral
GACGAACGCUGGCGGCGUGCUAAUACAUGCAAGUAGAACGCUGAAGAGAGGAGCUUGCUCUUCUUGGAUGAGUUGCGAACGGGUGAGUAACGCGUAGGUAACCUGCCUUGUAGCGGGGGAUAACUAUUGGAAACGAUAGCUAAUACCGCAUAACAAUGGGUGACACAUGUCAUUUAUUUGAAAGGGGCAAUUGCUCCACUACAAGAUGGACCUGCGUUGUAUUAGCUAGUAGGUGAGGUAACGGCUCACCUAGGCGACGAUACAUAGCCGACCUGAGAGGGUGAUCGGCCACACUGGGACUGAGACACGGCCCAGACUCCUACGGGAGGCAGCAGUAGGGAAUCUUCGGCAAUGGGGGCAACCCUGACCGAGCAACGCCGCGUGAGUGAAGAAGGUUUUCGGAUUGUAAAGCUCUGUUGUAAGUCAAGAACGAGUGUGAGAGUGGAAAGUUCACACUGUGACGGUAGCUUACCAGAAAGGGACGGCUAACUACGUGCCAGCAGCCGCGGUAAUACGUAGGUCCCGAGCGUUGUCCGGAUUUAUUGGGCGUAAAGCGAGCGCAGGCGGUUUGAUAAGUCUGAAGUUAAAGGCUGUAGCUCAACCAUAGUUCGCUUUGGAAACUGUCAAACUUGAGUGCAGAAGGGGAGAGUGGAAUUCCAUGUGUAGCGGUGAAAUGCGUAGAUAUAUGGAGGAACACCGGUGGCGAAAGCGGCUCUCUGGUCUGUAACUGACGCUGAGGCUCGAAAGCGUGGGGAGCGAACAGGAUUAGAUACCCUGGUAGUCCACGCCGUAAACGAUGAGUGCUAGGUGUUGGAUCCUUUCNCGGGAUUCAGUGCCGCAGCUAACGCAUUAAGCACUCCGCCUGGGAGUACG